Molecule: RNA transcript, 1141 nt
Organism: Tachysurus fulvidraco (yellow catfish)
Lineage: Eukaryota; Metazoa; Chordata; Actinopteri; Siluriformes; Bagridae
Gene: ift43
Gene name: intraflagellar transport protein 43 homolog A
Exons: 12
Source: RefSeq, a predicted model, not a curated record
UUGCACCUUGGAGACGGUUGCUGUGCGACGCUUCUUCAUCUCCAGGAAGUAAAACUCCAGAGAGGUGGAGCAACAGGAAUCUUCUACAGACUCCCAAAAAAUGGACGAUUCGUUGCAAAUAGGUGAAAAUGGAUUCAACGGAUUUCCGAAAAGUAAUGCCAGGAGUGGUAGAAGAGCUCGCCAAGCUGUUGAUCAGACGUCUGCAGAAGAUUCACGACACGGCAGGAAGUCGUCCUCCUCGGGCAUGUCAGCACCUGGAGAGGAGGAAGAUGACACGGGACCUCCACCGAAGCCACCUCGCAGACAGGGAGGUUGGGCUGAAGAGACCACCGGGACCGGAUCUGCCAAAGCUGGAAGAAGACAAGGUCCCGAGGAGGUCGAGGACCGCCGGUUAAGACCUCAAACCCCCAAGGGCUCGGAUGAUGAAAGCGAUAUCCCUGUGAUCCCAGAUCUGGAUGAAGUACAGGAAGAGGACCUUACCAUGCAAGUGGCUGCACCUCCCAGUAUCCAGGUGAACAGAGUGAUGACCUACAGAGAUCUGGACAAUGAUCUUAUGAAGUAUACAGCAUUUCAGACUCUGGAUGGUGAGAUUGACCUGAAACUGCUCACCAAGGUUUUAGCACCAGAGCAGGAGGUGAGAGAGGAGGAUGUUGGCUGGGACUGGGAUCAUCUAUUUACAGAGGUGUCCUCCGAGCUGCAGACGGAAUGGGAUCAAGGAGAGAGAGAGGAACAGUCUCCUCUUCCUGUGGCCUGAGGAUAGAUGACUUUCAGUGAAAGGCCAGUGCAUUUCUCGCUAGGGGCCUCAUAUUACCUUUCAUGUCAUUCAUAUUAUUUGGAGAGAAUUUGUAGGAUCAACUCCAAGGUUAAUGAACAGGAAAACCUGGAACCUGGACCUGGAAACCCUACUGAUUACCCAAAACAUCAAUAUAAAAGUGUGCAACAGAAGGAGAAGUGAUGAGAGCUAAGGUUGCGUAAAUAUGAGCUUCACCUCAUUUAACAGUUCUCACCAUAUAAAUCACCCAACCUAAACUUUAUACUGGUUAACAUUGCCUACACAUGGCUUAAUGCAGUAUAGUAAGUCAAUAUAACUUAGUGUAGCACAUCUUAUCACCUGCAGAACUAGCAAGUUGUUUAUAGUAAA